GACGUCUCACAGAAGAAGUACUGUUCAACACGAGCCUGGAAAGGUGAGUUCAAUAGAUCAUCUGUGAAGAUGGCCAAGUUUGAGAGAGGAAAAUCUGGACAGGAGAGAAAGCAUGUGUCAAAGGAGCCCAGAACGUUCCGAGAAAGGAAGUCUGGAAGAUUAGCCCUGAGCUAACUGCUGCUAUUCCUCCUCUUUUUGCCGAGGAAGACUGGCCCUGAGCUAAGAUCCAUGCCCAUCUUCCUCCACUUAAUAUGUAGGACGCCUACCACAGCAUAGCUUUUGCCAAGCGGUGCCUUGUCCGCACCAGGGAUCCGAACCAGCGAACCCCAGGCCGCCGAGAAGUGGAACGUGGGAACUUAACUGCUGCGCCAUGGGGCGGCCCUUAAAUUUUAUUUCUUGAUACUAACCAUAAAAUGUGUCGAUAUUGGUGACCUCUGCUUUUCAGCCCAUCAACCCCUUGGUGAUCUUUCAAGUUUCUUAGAAAGCUUGGCUGAGAGUCAUCUUAGAACCAGCCUCCACUCCAACGCCAAAGGAAAGGUGCUCGGUGUGGCACGCUGUGGGAAGAAAGAGAGUGUCCCCUCAUGGGCAUCAGCCUCCUGGUGAUGUGACCCUGUCAGGAAUACUCAGGCUUCCUAAGGAAGGUGGCAACUUGGCAUUCUUUAGACUGUGAUUGAUUUCCUCGUGGUAAAUGUUGACAGUUUAAACAAGAUUUGCCCUGUGUCUCAAAGUCUUUCUCUCCUCGCUGAGGAUCCAUUGUUUUAAGUCUUCCAUGAAGGAUGUAUUCAAUAAAUGCGUGUUGGAAGAAUUAUUGUGACGUUUAUAAAGUCGCAUGACAAAAUAAGAAGUGAUCAUGUUCAUUAUCCGCUUUAACUGAAUGUUAGAGGAAUUUUCUAAGUAGUGAGAAAAAUAGUAAAUGCGUUAAUUCAGCAAAACAAAACAACAAAUAUUUGCUAAAUGUUUAACUUUAAAAAAAAAGAAAAAAGAUUCACUGAUUGGGGCCAGCCUGGUGGCAUAGCGGUUAAGUUCACACACUCUGCUUCCACAGCCCAGGGUUCACCGGUUCAGAUCCCAGCACGGACCUAUGCACUGCUUAUCAAGCCACACUGUGGCAAGCAUCCCACAUAUAAAAGUAGAGGAAGAUUGGCACAGAUGUUAGCUCAGGGCCAAUCUUCCUCAGCAAAAAGAGGAGGAUUGGCGGUGGAUGUUAACUCAGGGCUAAUCUUCCUCAAAAACAAAACAGAUUCACUGAGACUAAAUUCACCAGGUACCAUCAAUGCAUAAUCAUCAGAAGGGUGUGACGUGAUAUGUAGAAAACUUGCUUACUAAUUGAUAAAACAACCCAAAGAACCAAAUGGUGGAAUGUCUCAAUCACUGCUUUAUUUUUUUAUCCAAGGAUGAUGUAAAGAACAUUGAAAUUACUAUAACAUUUGGAACACUGGCAAAGCUUUCUAGCUAGAAACGUGCAACUGUAAAUUAGAAAGAAGCAGCCACUUUCCACUGAGAGCCAGAAGCCAAAAUCCGAACUGUUGUCGUGAGGUCACAAGGGUGAUCUUAUAUACGGUGCCAUCUAUUCCAUCUCAGGCCAUUCCUGUGCAGCUGCUUCGAGCUAAAACUCCUCCACGCUCCACUUCUGAUUUUCCAGGGUUUCCCUGUCUGUCAGUUUCAGCCUGCCCCCUCCUGUUAUUUUUAGAUUUGAUUUUAGUCCUUAUAAAGGGCCAGGGGUGAGGAUAGGGAGAAAAUUUUUUUCAUUUUAAUUAAAAGCAGAUGACAAAGACAACUCAGUCAUGGAAAAUAACAGGAGUCACACUGUCUCUGGCUCCCAUUCGCGUAUUUCCUCCAUCAGCUGCAAGCGAGCAGAGAAGCAACAACGCUAAUUGAGUCUCCUCUGCCUUUUCCAGAAGACACACAUGAUCUAAGCAGAUCUCACCCGAGAUUCCGUUAGAGAGCUGCACGUGCUCUCCUUCCCUUUCCAUUCCCCCUCACAGAGUGAUUGCAUUUUAGAGCUGGCAGGCAGCUUCUGUGACUAUCUUCAUGUUACCAGGAGGAGCCCAGGGCCAAGCGAGGUCAAGGGAGGUGCCCGAAAAGGUCCAGCCUACUGAGGUCUCUCCAUUCCCACCUUCCAAGCGCUGAGCCUUGUCGAAUCCAUGUUUUUCAGCUGCCCAAAGAGUCCAAAUAGAGCAAGAGCUCCUUGAAGUGAGGGGCCCCAGCCUUGUGUGUUCUGUCCCUCAGUUCUCAGGACCUGCACAGGCAGGUGAAUGUGCACGGCGAAGCCGCUGCCUUUCACUCAUUCUUCCACACACUGUUGUUGCUGUUCUCCAACCUUCCGAUGAAUGUUUGUUUUUUCUCUCUCUGGACCAAUUUAGCCUUGUGCAUACUCUAUGAGCUUGGAUGUCUGCUUGCCUAUUAACUCAAAGACAGUUUAAUUCCAGAUUUUCUUCCAAGACUUCAUUUAGAUUCAGUCUUCAACGUCUCAUUAUUCAACAUGUUUACAGUUAGAUGUUCUAUUAUCAUAUAUAAUCAUUCGAAAGUACUAGUCUCUGUGUUCAGGUAACUCACAUGACACAGACUACAGCAUCUGUUGUGGACACAGCAUGGAAUUCAGUUUUGUAUUGUCAAACUCUUGCCUUUCUUCCUGGUUUCUCCAAAUGUAAGAAGGUCAUGGGGUGGGAGUGACCAGAUGAAAUCACUUACAGGUUAUCCACGAGACAAAGCCAAGGAAGCCCUGAUAAAGACAACCUCCACUCACGUCAUAUGACAGACAGAAAAAGCAUAUCUGGGUCUCUGCCCUGCUCAGUAGGAGAAUGAGGACUCUUGAUGGCAAAAGACGGAAACUCAAACCAGUUUGAGAAAAAAAGGGAGACAUUAUUAGAAGGCUUAUAUCCUCAUCUGGGAAGAGCAGAGAUGGCACUGGACAUCACAGACAGCUGGCACCAGGGACUCACAAGCCCCCAGCAUGCUCUUUCUUUUCUCUACCUCUCUCUCUGAGUCAGCGUUACUUCUCCCAAACUGGCUUUGGGAGUGAGCUCUUCCUCACGUGCAGCUUAACCCUCAGACAGAGAUUAGCUCCCUCUCCCCAGUUCCAGUUGCAAAACCCCCGAGGAAUGACUCUGUUGGUCUGACGAGGGCCAGGUGCCUACUCCUACCCCCAGAUAAUGGAGACUUUCCUCAAAGGAGGGGAAACAGAGGCCCCCUCAGUCACCCUAAUUCACAUCUACCACCACGUGUGGCAGGGGGCAAGUUUCUUUAACUUCUCUGAGCCUUGGUUUCUUCAUUGUAAAAUGAAACAUUUGGGGAGGGGCACAAAAAUAACACCUUCUUCAAAGAGCUGUUGAUCAUUUUACAUAGAUAACCAAUGUCAAAGGCCGCUGCAGUGUCUGCUAUAUGCGAAGCAUCAAUAAAUGUUCAUUUUUCUUCCAAGGUGAGUCUUAAAGUCAAGGAAGAAGUCAGCACGCUAAAAUGGAGAGGAAGAUUAUUUGGAGCACAGGGAACCGAAUGGGAAAUGCUGUACAAUUCAGAGUAAGAGGCACUAUAGGAGUUGUUAAAAGGAGGGCAAUUGAACCUUAAAUCAUUCCCACCAUAAAUCACCCAUAAGGUCCAUGUUCUAGAAAAAGGGGG
This 3615-nucleotide long non-coding RNA is filed under the name Equus caballus (horse). RNAcentral's name for it is "lncRNA (ENSECAG00000059929.1)". Lineage: Eukaryota; Metazoa; Chordata; Mammalia; Perissodactyla; Equidae. The record is from RNAcentral.